GACGAACGCUGGCGGCGUGCUUAACACAUGCAAGUCGAACGGAAAGGCCCUGCUUUUGUGGGGUGCUCGAGUGGCGAACGGGUGAGUAACACGUGAGUAACCUGCCCUUGACUUUGGGAUAACUUCAGGAAACUGGGGCUAAUACCGGAUAGGAGCUCCUGCUGCAUGGUGGGGGUUGGAAAGUUUCGGCGGUUGGGGAUGGACUCGCGGCUUAUCAGCUUGUUGGUGGGGUAGUGGCUUACCAAGGCUUUGACGGGUAGCCGGCCUGAGAGGGUGACCGGCCACAUUGGGACUGAGAUACGGCCCAGACUCCUACGGGAGGCAGCAGUGGGGAAUAUUGCACAAUGGGCGGAAGCCUGAUGCAGCAACGCCGCGUGCGGGAUGACGGCCUUCGGGUUGUAAACCGCUUUCGCCUGUGACGAAGCGUGAGUGACGGUAAUGGGUAAAGAAGCACCGGCUAACUACGUGCCAGCAGCCGCGGUGAUACGUAGGGUGCGAGCGUUGUCCGGAUUUAUUGGGCGUAAAGGGCUCGUAGGUGGUUGAUCGCGUCGGAAGUGUAAUCUUGGGGCUUAACCCUGAGCGUGCUUUCGAUACGGGUUGACUUGAGGAAGGUAGGGGAGAAUGGAAUUCCUGGUGGAGCGGUGGAAUGCGCAGAUAUCAGGAGGAACACCAGUGGCGAAGGCGGUUCUCUGGGCCUUUCCUGACGCUGAGGAGCGAAAGCGUGGGGAGCGAACAGGCUUAGAUACCCUGGUAGUCCACGCUGUAAACGGUGGGUACUAGGUGUGGGGUCCAUUCCACGGGUUCCGUGCCGUAGCUAACGCUUUAAGUACCCCGCCUGGGGAGUACGGCCGCAAGGCUAAAACUCAAAGGAAUUGACGGGGCCCCGCACAAGCGGCGGAGCAUGCGGAUUAAUUCGAUGCAACGCGUAGAACCUUACCUGGGUUUGACAUGGAUCGGGAGUGCUCAGAGAUGGGUGUGCCUCUUUUGGGGUCGGUUCACAGGUGGUGCAUGGCUGUCGUCAGCUCGUGUCGUGAGAUGUUGGGUUAAGUCCCGCAACGAGCGCAACCCUUGUUCACUGUUGCCAGCACGUUAUGGUGGGGACUCAGUGGAGACCGCCGGGGUCAACUCGGAGGAAGGUGGGGAUGACGUCAAGUCAUCAUGCCCCUUAUGUCCAGGGCUUCACGCAUGCUACAAUGGCUGGUACAGAGAGUGGCGAGCCUGUGAGGGUGAGCGAAUCUCGGAUAGCCGGUCUCAGUUCGGAUUGGGGUCUGCAACUCGACCUCAUGAAGUCGGAGUCGCUAGUAAUCGCAGAUCAGCAACGCUGCGGUGAAUACGUUCCCGGGGGCU
RNAcentral lists this ribosomal RNA (1347 nucleotides) under uncultured bacterium. RNAcentral describes it as "partial 16S ribosomal RNA". It matches the Rfam family "Bacterial small subunit ribosomal RNA", at positions 28 to 1382 of the family's 1533-position model. The record is from RNAcentral.